RNAcentral lists this long non-coding RNA (266 nucleotides) under Brassica rapa (field mustard). RNAcentral describes it as "long non-coding RNA (BRAP_LNC003320)". Lineage: Eukaryota; Viridiplantae; Streptophyta; Magnoliopsida; Brassicales; Brassicaceae. The record is from RNAcentral.
CUCAUAUGUCUCAUUUGCAUCAUUUGAAUGUUUUUUUUUUCUUGCUUUUGUUAGUCGGUUUAAGGAUCGGUUUAGAAUCCGGUUUACCAAGUUUUCUUGCUUUUCUCUCUCUUUAUAGUUUAGACUUUUCUUGUUUGGUAAACAUGAUCUACUUGUUGAUCUUGAGCCGAUUUUCAGUUAUGGUAUACACAAGAUUAUAAGUUGAUUCAUCGUCUCGAUAAGUCAUGACCUUUCAUCUACAUGGCGCAAAUGGACUCAAAAGCUCG